Molecule: ribosomal RNA, 490 nt
Filed under: uncultured bacterium
Lineage: Bacteria
Description: partial 16S ribosomal RNA
Rfam family: Bacterial small subunit ribosomal RNA
Source: RNAcentral
AGUGAACGCUGGCGGUAGGCCUAACACAUGCAAGUCGAACGGUAACACGAUGAAGGUUGGUGCUUUGGUGUGGAGUGUCGGACAGGUGUGAAGUGUAUGGGAGACUGUAUGUUGGCGGGGGAUAACUCCUGGGAAAGGUAGCUAUUACCGCAUAACGUCGCUAGCCGAGAGAGGGGGACCUUUGCGGCCCUUGCGCUAUGGUGUGAGCAGAUGGGAUUAGCUCGUUUGUGGGGGAACGGCCCACCCAGGCGACGAUCCCUAGCUGGUCUGAGAGGAUGAGCAGCCACACUGGAACUGAGACACGGUCCAGACUCCUACGGGAGGCAGCAGUGGGGAAUAUUGGACAAUGGGCGCAAGCCUGAUACAGCCAUACCGCGUGGGUGAAGAAGGCCUUCGGGUUGUAAAGUCCUUUCGGUGGGGAAGAAGAGAAGAAGGUUAAUACCUCGCCGCACUGACGGUACCCACAGAAUAAGCACCGGCUAACUUCGUG